GAGCCCAUGGCUCAAUGGUAGAGCGUUCGGCUCAAAUACCAAAGGUCGCGGGUUCGAAUCCCAGGUUUCC
This 70-nucleotide transfer RNA is filed under the name Schistocephalus solidus. It matches the Rfam family "tRNA". From Rfam's summary of the family: Transfer RNA (tRNA) molecules are approximately 80 nucleotides in length. Their secondary structure includes four short double-helical elements and three loops (D, anti-codon, and T loops). Lineage: Eukaryota; Metazoa; Platyhelminthes; Cestoda; Diphyllobothriidea; Diphyllobothriidae. The record is from Rfam by way of RNAcentral.